UUCUAGUGCCACAAAGGUAAAAUCUUUUUCUCAAUUAAUUUUCUGGUCUCCAAAUACAGUGUAGAUGCUGCUGCUUACAGGAUUCUUUGACUGAUGACAUAACAACAUCUUUCAAAACAAAGAAGCAUUCAGACAUGAAUACAUGGCUGGCAAAGGAAUGAAGAUGCACAUCAUUGUGAGAACAUUAACUUGAAGGCAUAUUUUGAAGCUCUGAUCAAAACAAACACAGCGUUUGUAAAAGAAUAUUUGACAUUUUUACAACUAUACAUUGGUGUCACCGAGGUAAACUCUGAAAGACCAAACAACUGCCCUAUGUAAGUUUUGACCCCCAUCACAUCCUCAAGUAGGACUCAUUUCAGAGGGUGGUAGUGGAAAGAGAGUUGAGCAGUCAAAAUGAAGAAGUAGGACUUGAAAACUUUUUGUUCCUGCUUCUCUAAUGACAGGAGCUUCUCAUUGAUGAGAGCUGAAAUAGGAACUGUAGGAUUGAUCUUCACCUUAAAAUCACCCUCAUCAGAAAACUAAACAGCCUGUCUUCUCUCUUUUCAGGGAAUUUUAUUCAUAGUCAUUGACAGAACUGAAAGCCAGAAGCUUUAUUAGACCUACAGACUGAAAAAUUGGCUUCUUUUAAUUUGUCUCAAAGCCCAGAGCUGUCAGCAAGUACCUUACUGUCUGAAGAGGACUCAGCAAACCAAACCAUACUCAGAGUGCUGCUUCAUUUUCCAUGACUGCACAUGAUGACAGAACUUACUCAGGAGAAGUUUCAGAGCUGCAGAUUGCAUAUGGGGCCUGAGUGAGAUGAACAGCUCAAGGACAAGACAGGCCACUUGUGGGAUCUGCUGGGACCUCUACCCAUGGAAGCUGAGAUGCUGUGCAAAUAGAACAGCAGAUAGGAGACAUGGAGAGAAGUUCAUCUGAAUAGAGAGGAUUGACUUUGAGAUUUUUAUUGGAGUGAAAUUCAGAUGCAAGUCAAGCUUAACCCCCUAGUAGAAGCUGCUUCAGGAGAGAAAAAAAAAAAUCUGAUUAGACAGGAAUAGAAAGACAGACCACUCCUGUAAGUCUAUUCUUAUUUGAAAAUACUCAAAUGUUUGUGGGAAGACUUAAUAUUUGUCAUGUCUUUGACCAAAGUCCAUACAGUGUAUUUAGAUAUGGAGAAAUUAUUUGAUUCAUAUAGUGAUCUCUCUAAUCUCUCUAUCUGUCCAUAUUCCAUGGUACCCUGAAAAUAUCAUAUGAAAUAAAAAUGGUUUAGAAAGCAGAAACUAUCAGCAGGUUUUGUUCACACAGCUUGUAUGAUGUAUAAAAGACUGUAUACGAAUCCAUAAAAAAUCAUAGUCUGAGAAUGGACAGACUAAGAAGAGAGGAUUUCCCCUCCUAAGAUGGGACCAUGCCAAAGUUGUUUUCCUUUCUAACCACCCUGGAUCUAGAGUUUGGAGGCUGGGGCUAAAGCCUGCAACAAACUUGAAACAUUACGGAGUGAAAUAAAUGGGUCUCUUCCAAAUGAAUCCCAGAUGAUGCCAAGUGGAAGAAGAUUUAUGUAUAUGUUGUAUAAAUAUUUAAUGAUAUGGCCAAAAACCUACUGCCACUUA
Molecule: non-coding RNA, 1583 nt
Organism: Cyanistes caeruleus (blue tit)
Lineage: Eukaryota; Metazoa; Chordata; Aves; Passeriformes; Paridae
Source: RefSeq, a predicted model, not a curated record